This 253-nucleotide ribosomal RNA is filed under the name uncultured bacterium. RNAcentral's name for it is "partial 16S ribosomal RNA". It matches the Rfam family "Bacterial small subunit ribosomal RNA", at positions 524 to 776 of the family's 1533-position model. The record is from RNAcentral.
UACGUAGGGGGCUAGCGUUGUCCGGAUUUAUUGGGCGUAAAGAGCGUGUAGGCGGCCAGGUAGGUCUGCUGUGAAAACUCGAGGCUCAACCUCGAGACGCCGGUUGAAACCAUCAGGCUAGAGUCCGGAAGAGGAGAGUGGAAUUCCCGGUGUAGCGGUGAAAUGCGCAGAUAUCGGGAAGAACACCCGUGGCUAAGGCGGCUCUCUAGUACGGUACUGACGCUGAGACGCGAAAGCGUGGGGAGCGAACAGG